GGACGCAGGCUGAAACGACGUGCCGUCUCGAAUGCUCCUCGCCGUCUCCAAAACCGGAAAACCGCUUUGCCAGCGCCAACUGUAAUAUGAAAACCAAAGAUCAUUUUGAGAUCUGAAAUUCUAAACCCAGCAAAACUCUUUUCUGGCUCUCUAGUAAAAAAUUAAAAAAAAAAAAAACUAUUUUUUCUGGUUGAAAACUCCGUUGUUUUCCUGACGAAUCUCUCUCAAGCGUCCGCGCACAUUUAUCAAUCUCUCUUGAAUUGCCUCACCAUCCGACGCCUCCAACCAGGAGGCUGUUGUGAGGAAGCAAAACAAAGGAGCCCCGAUUAAGUUCUUGGUCCCUCUUAUAUACGCCCCUGUUCUUCCUCUCAUUCGGCUCUCGUUGAGGGAUCG
Molecule: long non-coding RNA, 393 nt
Organism: Eucalyptus grandis
Lineage: Eukaryota; Viridiplantae; Streptophyta; Magnoliopsida; Myrtales; Myrtaceae
Exons: 3
Source: RefSeq, a predicted model, not a curated record